CUACACCUGCCCUAGCCCAUUGGGAAGUUCUGUUCCCUCCUCAUCUUUCUGCCAAGAGUAAAUACCUCUCACUGUGUUCCCAGCUUUAAGGCAACGUAUAAAGUUGAUUCAGCAUCUUACUUCUCUUUUCCUGAUGAUGGACUUUGCUAAGGAGGACAAGUUGACCUGAAGAGCCUCUACUACCUCCAGACGUGAGCACAUGCCAGGUGACUCCUCACAGCUCCACAAGCCAGUAUCGUCAUUGCCGUGCAACAGAACGAGCCUUAAGCAAAUGUCUGAAACUUAGGAAACCGCCAGGAACCAUAGAACCCAGCCCAAGAAGGUACUUCAAAUUAUCUUAGAUUUGUUUUUAACUUAAGAGAAGCAAUAGAUUCCACUGAAUCCUGAAAUCAAGUGUGGAAAAGUGCCUGUUGUACAAAAUUGAACCUCCCCCCAACCCAGGUUAACUCUACAUUCUAACAUAGAAUAAAAAGUUUUAUCUAAAGGAUAAAUUCUAGUUC
RNAcentral lists this long non-coding RNA (500 nucleotides) under Sus scrofa (pig). Its description in RNAcentral is "lncRNA (ENSSSCG00055014604.1)". Lineage: Eukaryota; Metazoa; Chordata; Mammalia; Artiodactyla; Suidae. The record is from RNAcentral.